CACACUAACAGACACACUCACACUCACUAACAGACACACACUCACUAACACACACACUCACAGGCAAACACACACUCACUGACACACUAACAGACAAACAUAGUCGGACACACACACUAACAGACACACUCACUAGCAGACACACACACACACACUAACAAACACACACAUUAACAGACACACUCACUGACACACACACUCACAGGCAAACACACACUCACUGACACACACACACACACAGGCAAACACACACUCACUGACACACAGUCAGACACACACACAUACACACUAACAGACACAGUCAGACACACACUAACAAAACACACACACAUUAACAGACACUCACUCACAUUAACACAUUUUUUUAUUUAUUUUUAUUUAGCCCCCCCCCC
Non-coding RNA from Pelobates cultripes (western spadefoot toad), 392 nucleotides. The record is from the annotation of a GenBank genome assembly. Lineage: Eukaryota; Metazoa; Chordata; Amphibia; Anura; Pelobatidae.